RNAcentral lists this ribosomal RNA (441 nucleotides) under uncultured bacterium. RNAcentral describes it as "partial 16S ribosomal RNA". It matches the Rfam family "Bacterial small subunit ribosomal RNA", at positions 338 to 795 of the family's 1533-position model. The record is from RNAcentral.
CCUACGGGGUGCAGCAGUGGGGAAUAUUGCGCAAUGGGGGCAACCCUGACGCAGCAACGCCGCGUGAUUGAAGACGGCCUUCGGGUUGUAAAGAUCUUUAAUCGGGGACGAAUUUUGACGGUACCCGAAGAAUAAGCUCCGGCUAACUACGUGCCAGCAGCCGCGGUAAUACGUAGGGAGCAAGCGUUGUCCGGAUUUACUGGGUGUAAAGGGCGUGUAGCCGGGAAGGCAAGUCAGAUGUGAAAUCUGGAGGCUCAACCUCCAAAUUGCAUUUGAAACUGUUUUUCUUGAGUACUGGAGAGGCAGACGGAAUUCCUUGUGUAGCGGUGAAAUGCGUAGAUAUAAGGAGGAACACCAGUGGCGAAGGCGGUCUGCUGGACAGCAACUGACGGUGAGGCGCGAAAGCGUGGGGAGCAAACAGGAUUAGAUACCCGUGUAGUC